UACGUAGGGUGCAAGCGUUAUCCGGAAUUAUUGGGCGUAAAGAGCUUGUAGGCGGUUUGUCGCGUCUGCUGUGAAAAUCCGGGGCUCAACCCCGGACUUGCAGUGGGUACGGGCAGACUAGAGUGUGGUAGGGGAGACUGGAAUUCCUGGUGUAGCGGUGAAAUGCGCAGAUAUCAGGAGGAACACCGAUGGCGAAGGCAGGUCUCUGGGCCACUACUGAC
This 221-nucleotide ribosomal RNA is filed under the name uncultured bacterium. RNAcentral describes it as "partial 16S ribosomal RNA". It matches the Rfam family "Bacterial small subunit ribosomal RNA", at positions 524 to 744 of the family's 1533-position model. The record is from RNAcentral.